UGGAUUAGUGGCGAACGGGUGAGUAACACGUGAGUAACCUGCCCUUAACUCUGGGAUAAGCCUGGGAAACUGGGUCUAAUACCGGAUAUGACUCCUCAUCGCAUGGUGGGGGGUGGAAAGCUUUUUUGUGGUUUUGGAUGGACUCGCGGCCUAUCAGCUUGUUGGUGAGGUAAUGGCUCACCAAGGCGACGACGGGUAGCCGGCCUGAGAGGGUGACCGGCCACACUGGGACUGAGACACGGCCCAGACUCC
This 252-nucleotide ribosomal RNA is filed under the name Arthrobacter sp. S39. RNAcentral describes it as "partial 16S ribosomal RNA". It matches the Rfam family "Bacterial small subunit ribosomal RNA", at positions 88 to 339 of the family's 1533-position model. The record is from RNAcentral. Lineage: Bacteria; Bacillati; Actinomycetota; Actinomycetes; Micrococcales; Micrococcaceae.